Glycine soja is the source of this 1794-nucleotide long non-coding RNA. RefSeq lists it as uncharacterized. The record is from RefSeq and is a predicted model, not a curated record. Lineage: Eukaryota; Viridiplantae; Streptophyta; Magnoliopsida; Fabales; Fabaceae. The transcript has 7 exons.
AUAGAUUUCCUUCUUUCACUUUACCAAAAAAAAUUACAGAGCUGUCCAAUCCCUUUUUAUAUUCAUCUAAGAACCCCCCUGGAAGAAUCCAUGUGCUGAGCUCCAAUAAGAUGCCAUCAGAACAAUAAUGUUCUACACCAAGUUGAAGGAUAUUAUCCUUGAGUAACCAAGCAUCUCUUCUCCAUCCUAAGACCCAAAUGACAGUGUACAAGACACUGCCGUAAAAGUUUACCCUCUGCACCUGCCAAAUUUUAGAAUUCAUCUAAAGAAACUGCUCCUUGCUAUGGGGGAAAAUCCAAGCAUUUUAAUGCAUGACAGGAUCUGCCAGGAUGUACCAGUACUUAUCUUGGUCAGCAUGCUUUCGUACUUAUGUUUUCUAGAGCAACUACAGGUAUUCUACUAAGGAAGAAAAACAGGAAAUUAUCAACAACUACAAGGCAAACUGCAAAUUAAUUGAUUGCAAGCAUUUUAACUUUGGAAAUGGGAAUUGUCCAUUCGGGUCUAGUUGCUUCUACAAGAACAUCUGCCUAUUCAUCUGGCAUAUGAAGCCAGACUUGAUGGACCAGUCCAAUAUAGAUGGAUGUAUCCAUUUGAAAGAUUCAUGGGUGAUUCUAAAUGAGCAGUGAAAAAUAAGGCCAGUGUUGAAGGAUCCAUUUGCGCAUCUUAUAUACAUCACUAGACAACUCAUUUUUGUUCUCAUUAUUUAAACAACUUUAUGUUGUCGCAACGCAAGGAAUCAAAUUGCAAUUGAAACUGAAAGGCGUCCACCAAUGUUAUCAGUGUUUGACCAACAAGGUCGUCUUUCUGGGAAGGAGUUCAUUCACUAGUUAACUGAUGAUGAGAAAGACUCAGCCUAUGUUCAUGUGUUGAUUAACUAUGUCGAAUCUAAGUCGUACCUUGAUUCAUUCUUGCAAUCCCAGUCAAAUGCCUCUACUCGUAAUCUACAUGUAGAUUCUCCUACUUGGUUCCAGGAACAAGCAUGUUACAAAAGAGCCUACAAAUGUGAGAAACCAACACUUAAAGGAUUUAUUGUAUGGUCUGAUGAGUUACGUUGAAGAAAGACACACAUACUUUGUCAAUGCUUGCAAAUUUCAUACUCAAGCAUGGACUAAAGGGAAGAAAACGAUAAAUAAUGGGGUUCACGUAAAGGGCCUCACACAAGGAGCCGCAGAUGAUUUUUAUGGGGUCAUUCAACAUAUAUAUAUGUAAGCAAGUAGUAUUAUUUUAUUGUCAUUGGUUUGAUCCAACAAGUAGAGGAACAAAAGUUGAUCCUAAAUAUGGCACUGUGGAAAUUGGAAUGGAUAAAAGCUAUAAUCUGUUUGACCCAUUCAUCGGUGCACAUAAUGUAAGACAAGUGUAUUAUGUGCCUUAUCUAACAACCAAAAAGGACAAGCAUGAUUGGUGUGUUGCAAUUAAAAUGAAGAUAAGAGGUUACAUAGAAUUUGAUCAUGUACAAGAUGAUGUGCCUUACCAAGUAGAGAAAAUGUCACAUGUCAACGAAGUCAUUGAAGUUGAAAGUAUUUCUGGAUUGCAUGAUUUAAGAGGUGGUGUUGAAGAAGUAGACCCUGCUAAUUUGUUGACAAACGAAGAAGAAUCAAAUAAUUUGAAUGGAGAAUAAAACAAUAUUGAACAAGACAAUGAAGGGGAAUUAGAAGAUGACUUUAAAGUUUACAAUUUUGAACAAGAUUAGACAUUGAUGUUUGUUAGUCAGUUAUAAUGUUUGUUAUUAGUGACAUGUUUGUGUUGUUGUAAUACUUGAGCACUUUGUUAGUUUAUUUUAUUUUUGUUGUGAAA